UAAAAGUUCAAUCAACUAAAGUAAAACUUUAAAUAAGAUGCAUUCCAAGUGUUCGGUAUAAUAUCACCGGUCAAGUGUUCCAAACGAUAUGCUCCAUUAUUCAGAUCUUCUUUGAUUCUGAACAGUCCAUCCCAAUUUGCUGCCAACUUCCCUUCUCUUAAACUUUUCCUUGCCUCUGCUGUUUUGCGCCAAACUAAAUCUCCUUCCAUGAAUCGUCUUGGCCACA
This 226-nucleotide long non-coding RNA is filed under the name Vigna radiata. RNAcentral's name for it is "long non-coding RNA (VRAD_LNC000866)". Lineage: Eukaryota; Viridiplantae; Streptophyta; Magnoliopsida; Fabales; Fabaceae. The record is from RNAcentral.